RNAcentral lists this ribosomal RNA (1321 nucleotides) under uncultured bacterium. RNAcentral describes it as "bacterial SSU rRNA". It matches the Rfam family "Bacterial small subunit ribosomal RNA", at positions 76 to 1381 of the family's 1533-position model. The record is from RNAcentral.
AAGCUUGCUUCUCUGAUGUUAGCGGCGGACGGGUGAGUAACACGUGGAUAACCUACCUAUAAGACUGGGAUAACUUCGGGAAACCGGAGCUAAUACCGGAUAAUAUUUUGAACCGCAUGGUUCAAAAGUGAAAGACGGUCUUGCUGUCACUUAUAGAUGGAUCCGCGCUGCAUUAGCUAGUUGGUAAGGUAACGGCUUACCAAGGCAACGAUGCAUAGCCGACCUGAGAGGGUGAUCGGCCACACUGGAACUGAGACACGGUCCAGACUCCUACGGGAGGCAGCAGUAGGGAAUCUUCCGCAAUGGGCGAAAGCCUGACGGAGCAACGCCGCGUGAGUGAUGAAGGUCUUCGGAUCGUAAAACUCUGUUAUUAGGGAAGAACAUAUGUGUAAGUAACUGUGCACAUCUUGACGGUACCUAAUCAGAAAGCCACGGCUAACUACGUGCCAGCAGCCGCGGUAAUACGUAGGUGGCAAGCGUUAUCCGGAAUUAUUGGGCGUAAAGCGCGCGUAGGCGGUUUUUUAAGUCUGAUGUGAAAGCCCACGGCUCAACCGUGGAGGGUCAUUGGAAACUGGAAAACUUGAGUGCAGAAGAGGAAAGUGGAAUUCCAUGUGUAGCGGUGAAAUGCGCAGAGAUAUGGAGGAACACCAGUGGCGAAGGCGACUUUCUGGUCUGUAACUGACGCUGAUGUGCGAAAGCGUGGGGAUCAAACAGGAUUAGAUACCCUGGUAGUCCACGCCGUAAACGAUGAGUGCUAAGUGUUAGGGGGUUUCCGCCCCUUAGUGCUGCAGCUAACGCAUUAAGCACUCCGCCUGGGGAGUACGACCGCAAGGUUGAAACUCAAAGGAAUUGACGGGGACCCGCACAAGCGGUGGAGCAUGUGGUUUAAUUCGAAGCAACGCGAAGAACCUUACCAAAUCUUGACAUCCUUUGACAACUCUAGAGAUAGAGCUUUCCCCUUCGGGGGACAAAGUGACAGGUGGUGCAUGGUUGUCGUCAGCUCGUGUCGUGAGAUGUUGGGUUAAGUCCCGCAACGAGCGCAACCCUUAAGCUUAGUUGCCAUCAUUAAGUUGGGCACUCUAAGUUGACUGCCGGUGACAAACCGGAGGAAGGUGGGGAUGACGUCAAAUCAUCAUGCCCCUUAUGAUUUGGGCUACACACGUGCUACAAUGGACAAUACAAAGGGCAGCGAAACCGCGAGGUCAAGCAAAUCCCAUAAAGUUGUUCUCAGUUCGGAUUGUAGUCUGCAACUCGACUACAUGAAGCUGGAAUCGCUAGUAAUCGUAGAUCAGCAUGCUACGGUGAAUACGUUCCCGGGUCU